Molecule: ribosomal RNA, 764 nt
Filed under: uncultured bacterium
Lineage: Bacteria
Description: bacterial SSU rRNA
Rfam family: Bacterial small subunit ribosomal RNA
Source: RNAcentral
UUCGCCGAUCGCCUUGAGUUGAUCAUGGCUCAGGACGAACGCUGGCGGCGUGCUUAACACAUGCAAGUCGAGCGGUAAGGCUCCUUCGGGAGUACACGAGCGGCGAACGGGUGAGUAACACGUGAGCAAUCUGCCCUUCACUUCGGGAUAACUCCGGGAAACCGGUGCUAAUACCGAAUACGACCACUUCAGGCAUCUGAUGGUGGUGGAAAGUUCCGGCGGUGAAGGAUGAGCUCGCGGCCUAUCAGCUUGUUGGUGGGGUAACGGCCCACCAAGGCAACGACGGGUAGCCGGCCUGAGAGGGUGACCGGCCACACUGGGACUGAGACACGGCCCAGACUCCUACGGGAGGCAGCAGUGGGGAAUAUUGGACAAUGGGCGAAAGCCUGAUCCAGCAACGCCGCGUGAGGGAUGACUGCCUUCGGGUUGUAAACCUCUUUCAGCAGGGACGAAGCGCAAGUGACGGUACCUGCAGAAGAAGCACCGGCCAACUACGUGCCAGCAGCCGCGGUAAUACGUAGGGUGCGAGCGUUGUCCGGAAUUAUUGGGCGUAAAGGGCUCGUAGGCGGUCUGUCGCGUCGGGAGUGAAAACUCAGGGCUUAACCCUGAGCCUGCUUCCGAUACGGGCAGACUAGAGGUAUGCAGGGGAGAACGGAAUUCCUGGUGUAGCGGUGGAAUGCGCAGAUAUCAGGAGGAACACCGGUGGCGAAGGCGGCUCUCUGGGCAUUACCUGACGCUGAGGAGCGAAAGUGUGGGGAGCGAAC